RNAcentral lists this ribosomal RNA (353 nucleotides) under Syncordulia venator. RNAcentral's name for it is "partial 16S ribosomal RNA". It matches the Rfam family "Archaeal large subunit ribosomal RNA", at positions 2013 to 2636 of the family's 2987-position model. Lineage: Eukaryota; Metazoa; Arthropoda; Insecta; Odonata; Corduliidae. The record is from RNAcentral.
GCGGCCGCGGCCGAGCAAAGGUAGCAUAAUCAUUAGUCUUUUAAAAGAGGGCUGGAAUGAAAGGUUUGACGAGGUACUAACUGUCUCAUUUUAUUUGAGAAUUUAACUUUUUAGUCAAAAGGCUAAAAUUUAGUUGGAAGACGAGAAGACCCUAUAGAGCUUUAUAUAUAUUNUGUNGGGGUGACAAAAAUAUUUUUUAUUUAUUUAACAUUGAUUCAUGAAUAUUAGAUCCACUAUUAGUGAUUAUUAGAUUAAGUUACCUUAGGGAUAACAGCGUAAUCCUCCCCCAGAGUUCAUAUUUACUUGCGUCCUUUAUUUUGGAUUAAGAUAAUAAUUAGGUGUAGCCGCUCAAU